AAUGAACGCUGGCGGCGUGGUUAAGACAUGCAAGUCGAACGGGACUUCGUGAAGGGCAACCGGAUCGAAGUUCAGUGGCGAACGGGUGCGUAACACGUGAACAAUCUACCUCGAAGUGGGGAAUAGCUCGGCGAAAGCCGAAUUAAUACCGCAUGUGGUCGGGACUCGCAUGAGUCUCGAACUAAAGUCAGGGACCGCAAGGCCUGACGCUUUGAGAGGAGUUCGCGGCCUACAGCUAGUUGGCGAGGUAACGGCUCACCAA
This 262-nucleotide ribosomal RNA is filed under the name uncultured bacterium. RNAcentral describes it as "partial 16S ribosomal RNA". It matches the Rfam family "Bacterial small subunit ribosomal RNA", at positions 29 to 271 of the family's 1533-position model. The record is from RNAcentral.